RNAcentral lists this ribosomal RNA (253 nucleotides) under uncultured bacterium. RNAcentral's name for it is "partial 16S ribosomal RNA". It matches the Rfam family "Bacterial small subunit ribosomal RNA", at positions 524 to 776 of the family's 1533-position model. The record is from RNAcentral.
UACGAGGGGGGCGAGCGUUGUUCGGAAUUAUUGGGCGUAAAGGGUGCGUAGGCGGCGGGGCAAGUCUGAUGUGAAAUCCCGGGGCUCAACCCCGGAACUGCAUUGGAUACUGCCUUGCUUGAGUACUGGAGAGGAGACUUGAAUUUACGGUGUAGCAGUGAAAUGCGUAGAGAUCGUAAGGAAGGCCAGUGGCGAAGGCGAGUCUCUGGACAGUAACUGACGCUGAGGCACGAAGGCCAGGGGAGCAAACGGG